RNAcentral lists this non-coding RNA (26 nucleotides) under Homo sapiens (human). Lineage: Eukaryota; Metazoa; Chordata; Mammalia; Primates; Hominidae. The record is from RNAcentral.
CAGCAUUUGAUCGAGCUGAUCCGCCA